GGGAAGGUAGCUCAGCCGUAGAGUGCAUGCCUUGCAAGCAUGAGGCCCUGGGUUCGAUUCCUUAGCACCA
This is a non-coding RNA of Dipodomys ordii (Ord's kangaroo rat), 70 nucleotides long. Lineage: Eukaryota; Metazoa; Chordata; Mammalia; Rodentia; Heteromyidae. The record is from Rfam.